ACUCUCGGCAACGGAUAUCUCGGCUCUCGCAUCGAUGAAGAACAUAGCAAAAUGCGAUACCUGGUGUGAAUUGCAGAAUCCCGCGAACCAUCGAGUUUUUGAACGCAAGUUGCGCCCGAAGCCUUCUGGCGGAGGGCACGUCUGCCUGGGCGUCACGCCAAAAGACACUCCCAACACCCCCCCGCGGGGCGAGGGACGUGGCGUCUGGCCCCCCGCGCCGCAGGGCGAGGUGGGCCGAAGCAGGGGCUGCCGGCGAACCGCGCCGGGCGCAGCACGUGGUGGGCGACAUCAAGUUGUUCUCGGUGCAGCGUCCCGGCGCGCGGGCGGCCAUUCGGCCCUAAGGACCCAUCGAGCGACCGAGCUUGCCCUCGGACCGCGACCCCAGGUCAGUCGGGACUACCCGCUGAGUUUAAGCAUAUAAAUAAGCGGAGGAGAAGAAACUUACGAGGAUUCCCCUAGUAACGGCGAGCGAACCGGGAGCAGCCCAGCUUGAGAAUCGGGCGGCCUCGCCGCCCGAAUUGUAGUCUGGAGAGGCGUCCUCAGCGACGGACUGGGCCCAAGUUCUCUGGAAAGGGACGCCUGGGAGGGUGAGAGCCCCGUCCAGCCCGGACCCUGUCGCACCACGAGGCGCCGUCAACGAGUCGGGUUGUUUGGGAAUGCAGCCCAAAUCGGGCGGUAAACUCCGUCCAAGGCUAAAUACAGGCGAGAGACCGAUAGCGAACAAGUACCGCAAGGGAAAGAUGAAAAGGACUUUGAAAAGAGAGUCAAAGAGUGCUUGAAAUUGCCGAGAGGGAAGCGGAUGGGGGCUGGCGACGCGCCCCAGCCGUAUGCGGAACGGCUCCUGCUGGUCCGCCGAUCGGCUCGGGGCGUGGACCGUUGUCGCCCGCGCCGGCGGCCAAAGCCUGGGGGCCCUAGGCGCCCCCGGCAGCCGUCGUCGGCGCGGACGGUAUCCGUGUGCCUCUGGCGCGCCCCUCAGGGCGCUGCGCCGCAACGGCCUGCGAGCUCCCCAUCCGACCCGUCUUGAAACAUGGACCAAGGAGUCUGACAUGCGUGCGAGUCGACGGGUUCAGAAACCUGAGAUGCGCAAGGAAGCUGACAAGCGGGAGGCCCUCACGGGCCGCACCGCUGGCCGACCCUGAUCUUCUGUGAAGGGUUCGAGUUGGAGCACGCCUGUCGGGACCCGAAAGAUGGUGAACUAUGCCUGAGCGGGGCGAAGCCAGAGGAAACUCUGGUGGAGGCUCGAAGCGAUACUGACGUGCAAAUCGUUCGUCUGACUUGGGUAUAGGGGCGAAAGACUAAUCGAACCAUCUAGUAGCUGGUUCCCUCCGAAGUUUCCCUCAGGAUAGCUGGAGCCCACACGAGUUCUAUCGGGUAAAGCCAAUGAUUAGAGGCAUCGGGGGCGCAACGCCCUCGACCUAUUCUCAAACUUUAAAUAGGUAGGACGGCGCGGCUGCUUCGGUGAGCCGUGCCAUGGAAUCGGGAGCUCCAAGUGGGCCAUUUUUGGUAAGCAGAACUGGCGAUGCGGGAUGAACCGGAAGCCGGGUUACGGUGCCAAACUGCGUGCUAACCAAGAACCCACAAAGGGUGUUGGUCGAUUAAGACAGCAGGACGGUGGUCAUGGAAGUCGAAAUCCGCUAAUGAGUGUGUAACAACUCACCUGCCGAAUCAACUAGCCCCGAAAAUGGAUGGCGCUGAAGCGCGUGACCCACACCUGGCCAUCUGGGCGAGCGACAUGCCCCGAUGAGUAGGAGGGCACGGUGGCCGCCGCAAAACCCGGGGCGCGAGCCUGGGCGGAGCGGCCGUCGGUGCAGAUCUUGGUGGUAGUAGCAAAUAUUCAAAUGAGAACUUUGAAGGCCGAAGAGGAGAAAGGUUCCAUGUGAACGGCACUUGCACAUGGGUAAGCCGAUCCUAAGGGACGGGGGAAACCCGGCAGAUAGCGCGAUCACGCGCGUCACCCGAAAGGGAAUCGGGUUAAGAUUUCCCGAGCCGGGACGUGGCGGCAGACGGCGACGUUAGGAAGUCCGGAGACGCCGGCGGGGGCCUCGGGAAGAGUUAUCUUUUCUGCUUAACGGCCCGCCAACCCUGGAAUCGGUUCAGCCGGAGGUAGGGUCCAGCGGCCGGAAGAGCACCGCACAUCGCGCGGUGUCCAGUGCGCCCCCGGCGGCCCUUGAAAAUCCGGAGGACCGAAUACCGUCCACGCCCGGUCGUACUCAUAAACGCAUCAGGUCUCCAAGGUGAACAGCCUCUGGCCAAUGGAACAAUGUAGGCAAGGGAAGUCGGCAAAACGGAUCCGUAACUUUGGGAAAAGGAUUGGCUCUGAGGGUUGGGCUCGGGGGUCCCGGCCCCGAACCCGUCGGCUGCUGGCGGAAUGCUCGAGCUGCUCGCGCGGCGAGAGCGGGCCGCCGCGUGCCGGCCGGGGGACGGACCGGGAACGGCCCCCUCGGGGGCCUUCCCCGGGCGUCGAACAACCGACUCAGAACUGGUACGGACAAGGGGAAUCCGACUGUUUAAUUAAAACAAAGCAUUGUGACGGUCCUCGAGGAUGCUGACGCAAUGUGAUUUCUGCCCAGU
RNAcentral lists this ribosomal RNA (2571 nucleotides) under Zea mays. RNAcentral describes it as "eukaryotic LSU rRNA". The stretch from base 377 to 2571 matches the Rfam family "Eukaryotic large subunit ribosomal RNA", at positions 1 to 2206 of the family's 3401-position model. Lineage: Eukaryota; Viridiplantae; Streptophyta; Magnoliopsida; Poales; Poaceae. The record is from RNAcentral.